Molecule: long non-coding RNA, 1274 nt
Filed under: Junco hyemalis (dark-eyed junco)
Lineage: Eukaryota; Metazoa; Chordata; Aves; Passeriformes; Passerellidae
Description: lncRNA (ENSJHYG00000014280.1)
Source: RNAcentral
UGUUUGUACCUGACACCAAACACAGCUUUGCAUCUCACAUCCCACACCUGAAUCUCCUGAUUUAAAAACUUCUCCCCUCCAUAAAGAAUAUUUAACAAAGUUCCACUGAAACACCCCAGCUUUUGGUACCAACCAGAAUUAAAAUGAGUUGGAGCCCCACAUGCUGAGGUGGUUUUCCAUCUGUCUGGCUCAAUAUUUCAGUUGACUCACCUUUAUGUGCCUCUGUGUUUCCAUACACACAGCACCUUGGAUUUCUCAGAUCCUGUUUCAAGCCCUUCCGAGGAAAUAAGGGCUUGUCUGCCCCGGGGAGCUGUUGUGAAAUACUCUGGAGUGUGAAUUUAAAAUGCAGCACUCUGCCUGCAUUAACUCCUUGUGGGAAUGCUCUGUUCUGCACACAAAAUGCUCGGCAGCUUCCUUUAAUCCGCUCUGCUAAGAUUGGAAUGACCAAAACCAGAAGUCAAUUGCAUGAGAGCAGAAUUCGCUGCAGGAAGGUUGCUGUGUUCAUGAAGCACAGAAAUUCUCUUGCCUCUGUGUGUUUGCGGCUCCCGUGCAGAUGUUUAUUCUCCUCCCGCACCUCUGUUUGUUCGCUUUCGGAGGCAGGGCCGGGUGAUGCCCAAGGUGCGUUCCUGCAGCGCAUUCCCAGCCUCUCUCCCACAGCCCAGCCCUCCCCUGACCUGACCACAACCUCCCUCGGGUCCCAGAGAUUCCCACAAGCGGCGAUGACUGGCUGGGAAAGAAUCCCGGAGCAUCCGAGCAGCAGGAAAGCUGAGCCCUGGCUGCGGGACACGCAGGAAAUGCAGGGAGCAGGGUGGGUCUGCCUUGCGAACGGGAAUGUUCCAGCCACGCAGCCAGACCUGGCAGCCUUCGGCUUCUAUAAACACUCAGGGAGCUCUGUGCAGACCUGCUCUGCCGGGGCACAUUCUGCUUUCCAGUUGCAUUCUUAAGGAAACAUGAUUUUCUUCACUGACUACAACUCCACACAUUGAUGCAAAGACACUCUGCAUUUCAUUAGAUUAGACUCAAGGUGCUUUUGGAAAUCCAAAUUGAGAUUUUUAUUAACUAAUGAAGCAGUUUAAAUAUGCUGUUUGUUUUUUGGUGUUUCUUGUUUUUUAUUUUUUUAUAUAUAUAUUACAGAAUCACAGAAUAAUGAGGUUGGAAGAGACCUCUAAGAUCAUCAACUCCAACCUAUGCCCUAAUAAUUAAAAAGCAUAACACAUUAAGAUAGAUUUGAUGUAUUAAAUAAAGCACAUGGCUAACUGAACUGUUUGUAUCUG